This is a long non-coding RNA of Thalassophryne amazonica, 103 nucleotides long. RefSeq lists it as uncharacterized. Lineage: Eukaryota; Metazoa; Chordata; Actinopteri; Batrachoidiformes; Batrachoididae. The transcript is spliced from 3 exons. The record is from RefSeq and is a predicted model, not a curated record.
CAUGUGCCAUGGAAGUUUAGACUGUGCAGAUACUGGACUGGCCUGCCUGCAGUCCCGACCUGUCCCCAACAGAGAAUGUGUGAAGAAUUGUGAAACAGAAAAU